RNAcentral lists this non-coding RNA (113 nucleotides) under Candidatus Roizmaniibacteriota. Its description in RNAcentral is "Candidatus Roizmanbacteria SAM-I-IV sequence". It matches the Rfam family "SAM-I/IV (S-adenosyl methionine) riboswitch aptamer". Rfam says of the family: It is found upstream of a number of genes which code for proteins involved in methionine or cysteine biosynthesis. It has been found mostly in the order Actinomycetales. The record is from RNAcentral.
UGGAAACAUCAAGAGUGUCCGAUGUAACAUCGGACCAGCAACCGAAUAAUACGGUGCCAUUUCCGAGAGGAAGAUGUGGUCCGACGUCACGUCGGACAAAUUAUAAUUUUACC